RNAcentral lists this ribosomal RNA (253 nucleotides) under uncultured bacterium. Its description in RNAcentral is "partial 16S ribosomal RNA". It matches the Rfam family "Bacterial small subunit ribosomal RNA", at positions 524 to 776 of the family's 1533-position model. The record is from RNAcentral.
UACGUAGGUGGCGAGCGUUGUCCGGAUUUACUGGGCGUAAAGGGAGCGUAGGCGGACUUUUAAGUGAGAUGUGAAAUACUCGGGCUCAACUUGAGUGCUGCAUUUCAAACUGGAAGUCUAGAGUGCAGGAGAGGAGAAUGGAAUUCCUAGUGUAGCGGUGAAAUGCGUAGAGGUUAGGAAGAACACCAGUGGCGAAGGCGAUUCUCUGGACUGUAACUGACGCUGAGGCUCGAAAGCGUGGGGAGCAAACAGG